GUAAAGCGUGCGCNGGCGGUUAGAUAAGUCUGAAGUUAAAGGCAGUGGCUCAACCAUUGUAGGCUUUGGAAACUGUUUAACUUGAGUGCAGAAGGGGAGAGUGGAAUUCCAUGUGUAGCGGUGAAAUGCGUAGAUAUAUGGAGGAACACCGGUGGCGAAAGCGGCUCUCUGGUCUGUAACUGACGCUGAGGCUCGAAAGCGUGGGGAGCGAACAGGAUUAGAUACCCUGGUAGUCCACGCCGUAAACGAUGAGUGCUAGGUGUUAGGUCCUUUCCGGGACUUAGUGCCGCAGCUAACGCAUUAAGCACUCCGCCUGGGGAGUACGACCGCAAGGUUGAAACUCAAAGGAAUUGACGGGGGCCCGCACAAGCGGUGGAGCAUGUGGUUUAAUUCGAAGCAACGCGAAGAACCUUACCAGGUCUUGACAUCCCGAUGCCCGCUCUAGAGAUAGAGCUUUACUUCGGUACAUCGGUGACAGGUGGUGCAUGGUUGUCGUCAGCUCGUGUCGUGAGAUGUUGGGUUAAGUCCCGCAACGAGCGCAACCCUUAUUGUUAGUUGCCAUCAUUCAGUUGGGCACUCUAGCGAGACUGCCGGUAAUAAACCGGAGGAAGGUGGGGAUGACGUCAAAUCAUCAUGCCCCUUAUGACCUGGGCUACACACGUGCUACAAUGGCUGGUACAACGAGUCGCAAGCCGGUGACGGCAAGCUAAUCUCUGAAAGCCAGUCUCAGUUCGGAUUGUAGGCUGCAACUCGCCUACAUGAAGUCGGAAUCGCUAGUAAUCGCGGAUCAGCACGCCGCGGUGAAUACGUUCCCGGGCCUUGUACACA
RNAcentral lists this ribosomal RNA (828 nucleotides) under uncultured bacterium. RNAcentral's name for it is "bacterial SSU rRNA". It matches the Rfam family "Bacterial small subunit ribosomal RNA", at positions 560 to 1389 of the family's 1533-position model. The record is from RNAcentral.